UCAAAACACGGCGAGGCAAUCCGUUGUGGAAUGAGAGGCAGGGUACGAGGGAGAGGGAGAGAGAGAAAGAGAGGACAAAACAGAGGGUAUUCUGUUAGAAAGACCAUACGGCUAUGAGAUCUGUCUGUACUAGAGAGCCUGAGAAUCUGAAGUCGAGAGCUCCGUCUAUGUGAUAUAAGUGCAGUGAUGUACUUCAAAUGCUCCGAUAACGUAAAUGAAAACAAGUGGCAGUCUGUUUACACACCAGUCAGUGGGAGAGGGGAAACACUUCCUGGAAACAGUUGCCAACAACACACAGAGUCUGUAACGUCUGUACCCGGGGAGGUAGGAGGACAAGCGAGAGCACACAGCAGGAUGCAGUGAAAAUGUGGCCCAGCUGAGCUCACAGCUAACCUGAACUAACUCUGACUCUGUUUACUUCCUAAA
This is a long non-coding RNA of Labeo rohita (rohu), 426 nucleotides long. RefSeq lists it as uncharacterized. The record is from RefSeq and is a predicted model, not a curated record. Lineage: Eukaryota; Metazoa; Chordata; Actinopteri; Cypriniformes; Cyprinidae. The transcript is spliced from 3 exons.